This 420-nucleotide ribosomal RNA is filed under the name uncultured bacterium. RNAcentral's name for it is "bacterial SSU rRNA". It matches the Rfam family "Bacterial small subunit ribosomal RNA", at positions 92 to 518 of the family's 1533-position model. The record is from RNAcentral.
CGAGUGGCGGACGGGUGAGUAACGCGUGAGCAACCCUGUCCCACGACAAGGGGGGAGUAACAACUUGGAAACAGGUGCUAAUACCGCAUAAGACCACAGUAGGACAUCCUACAGGGGUAAAAGGGAGCAAUCCGGUUUGGGGUGGGCUCGCGUCCGAUUAGAUAGUUGGUGAGGUAACGGCCCACCAAGUCGACGAUCGGUAGCCGACCUGAGAGGGUGAUCGGCCACAUUGGAACUGAGAGACGGUCCAAACUCCUACGGGAGGCAGCAGUGGGGAAUAUUGGGCAAUGGGCGAAAGCCUGACCCAGCAACGCCGCGUGAGUGAAGAAGGCCUUCGGGUUGUAAAGCUCUGUUAUAGUUGACGAAGGAAGUGACGGUAGGCUAUAAGGAAGCCCCGGCUAACUACGUGCCAGCCGCGGC